Cynara cardunculus var. scolymus (artichoke) is the source of this 906-nucleotide long non-coding RNA. RefSeq lists it as uncharacterized. The record is from RefSeq and is a predicted model, not a curated record. The transcript is spliced from 4 exons. Lineage: Eukaryota; Viridiplantae; Streptophyta; Magnoliopsida; Asterales; Asteraceae.
UUCAUGUUUAUGAAAUAACACUCUGUCCGUCCAUGUGUGAUCGUAAGAAACGGUCGUCUACGAACACGCACGGCCUCGCCAGUUCUGUUUUCACUUCCUGGUUUUUGUAUCACAAUUUUCAACGAACUCCAUCACCCUCUUUCGUGAUCCACGAACUUUACAAUUAUCCUCAAAAGCCACGUCCAAAGACCCCAACAAACAACAAUAACAUCACCGCCUCCGACUCCAAGCAACCGCCAUUUCCAUUACCGUCGUAGAAGAGGUCAUUUGCGGUGGCCACCAGGGAACUGUUGUUGGGGAUAGCGUCUUGGAUUAUCAAGAAAGUUUCCAUAUCAUCUUGGUCUUGCCAAGCUUCUGGGUUACGUUAAGGGUUGACCUACCAUGGAGAGCACAAAUACAAGAAAAGCGUGCUUCACACCAUUCUGACAUGCUCAGGACAUGGAUGUUGAAGAGGGAGAGAGAGAGAGAGAGAGAGCCCAGCGUGAAACUGGUGUGAGGAAGUGGAUUCCCACCCCAAGGUGUAUGCUAGUUGUACCAUAAUAUGGUACUUUAUCUUAUCAGGGUUGAGCUACCAUGGAGCACAAAAACAAGAAAAAUGUGCUUCACAUCAUUCUCACGUACUCUGGCCAUGGGUGUUGAAAGGGGAGAGAGAGCCCAACGCAAAACUGGUGUGAGAGUGACCAGUCUCUAACAUCUCCUACAAUACACACAAGUUCACAUUGGAGAUGUAUGGUUAGGGUCUGUAGAGAUGGGCUCCUUCUUAACAAGCAACAUAUUCCAGGGAGUUCUUGCUUGAUCAUAAACACUCGUAGUGUUAAUUCUGUUGUGCUCUGAAGCUGAAGCAAAUUCUCCGUACUACUAGAUUGUGUUGAUGCUAGAACCUGAAAAUAACAAUGAGAAUGUGAU